GUACACUCCUACGGGAGGCAGCAGUGGGGAAUUUUGGACAAUGGGCGAAAGCCUGAUCCAGCAAUGCCGCGUGAGUGAAGAAGGCCUUCGGGUUGUAAAGCUCUUUUGUCAGGGAAGAAACGGUGAAAGCUAAUAUCUUUUGCUAAUGACGGUACCUGAAGAAUAAGCACCGGCUAACUACGUGCCAGCAGCCGCGGUAAUACGUAGGGUGCAAGCGUUAAUCGGAAUUACUGGGCGUAAAGCGUGCGCAGGCGGUUUUGUAAGUCUGAUGUGAAAUCCCCGGGCUCAACCUGGGAAUUGCAUUGGAGACUGCAAGGCUAGAAUCUGGCAGAGGGGGGUAGAAUUCCACGUGUAGCAGUGAAAUGCGUAGAUAUGUGGAGGAACACCGAUGGCGAAGGCAGCCCCCUGGGUCAAGAUUGACGCUCAUGCACGAAAGCGUGGGGAGCAAACAGGAUUAGAUACCCCUGUAGUCCC
RNAcentral lists this ribosomal RNA (474 nucleotides) under uncultured organism. RNAcentral's name for it is "partial 16S ribosomal RNA". It matches the Rfam family "Bacterial small subunit ribosomal RNA", at positions 331 to 797 of the family's 1533-position model. The record is from RNAcentral.